RNAcentral lists this transfer RNA (70 nucleotides) under Danionella translucida. It matches the Rfam family "tRNA". From Rfam's summary of the family: Transfer RNA (tRNA) molecules are approximately 80 nucleotides in length. RNAcentral also lists the same sequence under 1 other name. Lineage: Eukaryota; Metazoa; Chordata; Actinopteri; Cypriniformes; Danionidae. The record is from Rfam by way of RNAcentral.
UUGCCUGUGGCUCUGUUGGCAGAGCAUUGUGCUAACAAUGCACAGGUCGUGGGUUCAAAUCCCAGGGAAA